GGAAGGGUAGCGAAGAGGCUAAACGCGGCGGACUGUAAAUCCGCUCCUUCGGGUUCGGGGGUUCGAAUCCCUCCCCUUCCACCA
Molecule: transfer RNA, 84 nt
Filed under: Lactobacillales bacterium
Lineage: Bacteria; Bacillati; Bacillota; Bacilli; Lactobacillales
Description: tRNA-Tyr
Rfam family: tRNA
About the family: Transfer RNA (tRNA) molecules are approximately 80 nucleotides in length. Their secondary structure includes four short double-helical elements and three loops (D, anti-codon, and T loops).
Source: RNAcentral